This 882-nucleotide ribosomal RNA is filed under the name Leuconostoc gasicomitatum. RNAcentral's name for it is "bacterial SSU rRNA". It matches the Rfam family "Bacterial small subunit ribosomal RNA", at positions 59 to 922 of the family's 1533-position model. Lineage: Bacteria; Bacillati; Bacillota; Bacilli; Lactobacillales; Lactobacillaceae. The record is from RNAcentral.
AAGUCGAACGCACAGCGAAAGGUGCUUGCACCUUUCAAGUGAGUGGCGAACGGGUGAGUAACACGUGGACAACCUGCCUCAAGGCUGGGGAUAACAUUUGGAAACAGAUGCUAAUACCGAAUAAAACUUAGUAUCGCAUGAUACCAGGUUAAAAGGCGCUACGGCGUCACCUAGAGAUGGAUCCGCGGUGCAUUAGUUAGUUGGUGGGGUAAAGGCCUACCAAGACAAUGAUGCAUAGCCGAGUUGAGAGACUGAUCGGCCACAUUGGGACUGAGACACGGCCCAAACUCCUACGGGAGGCUGCAGUAGGGAAUCUUCCACAAUGGGCGAAAGCCUGAUGGAGCAACGCCGCGUGUGUGAUGAAGGCUUUCGGGUCGUAAAGCACUGUUGUAUGGGAAGAAAAGUUAAGGUAGGGAAUGACCUUAGCCUGACGGUACCAUACCAGAAAGGGACGGCUAAAUACGUGCCAGCAGCCGCGGUAAUACGUAUGUCCCGAGCGUUAUCCGGAUUUAUUGGGCGUAAAGCGAGCGCAGACGGUUGGUUAAGUCUGAUGUGAAAGCCCGGAGCUCAACUCCGGAAAGGCAUUGGAAACUGGUUAACUUGAGUGCAGUAGAGGUAAGUGGAACUCCAUGUGUAGCGGUGGAAUGCGUAGAUAUAUGGAAGAACACCAGCGGCGAAGGCGGCUUACUGGACUGUAACUGACGUUGAGGCUCGAAAGUGUGGGUAGCAAACAGGAUUAGAUACCCUGGUAGUCCACACCGUAAACGAUGAACACUAGGUGUUAGGAGGUUUCCGCCUCUUAGUGCCGAAGCUAACGCAUUAAGUGUUCCGCCUGGGGAGUACGACCGCAAGGUUGAAACUCAAAGGAAUUGACGGGGACCC